AACAGAAUUUUUCAUACACCAUAUAUGCAUACACCUCACUGAAAUUCCCAAACACACACGGAAUAUUUACACACAACAACAGAAUUGGGAAAGGCGGGAACUGACCAACAUUCUCACAAUUUCACAGAACACAUAUACACACACAGCUCACAAUUUUCAUUUUUAUACACAGACUCACCAAAAACACAAAACAUCCUCACAAAUAUACGCGCACACACCCAAAACCAGUGAACGAAACACCAAAAGAAACUCUCAAUUUUGUCCAUUUUUCACAGUAAAAAAACACGCACCACAAACCGAUAUAUGCAAACGCAUAUGCCAAAGAUUGGAGAGAAAUUAAGAAAGACGGUGGACUGGGGUUGAUUGGAGAAACGAUAAUAGAUCGAGGGAGAGAGAAAAAAUAAAGGGAAACAAAUUACUAAGAAAAAUUCUUCUUCUCUAAUUCUUUCAUCAAAAAAUGUGACUGGCCGAAAAAAACCAUAUCCCCACACCUGUCCUUCACUGUUCUGACCAGAAUUAUUGGAACCAGUGAGUAACAUCCCAAAAAUUGAUCUAAAAUUUGAUUGAACCAUGUCUCUCUACCAUCGUUUGAGCUCACCAGAGCUCCGGUGAAACGAAAACAAUGCACCCUGUUCUGAUUCCAGUGAAUCCAUUUAAGCUCAAGUUAAAAUCUGCGAUUUAGGCUCGUAUUGAGGUUGUUCGAGGCUGGUUUGUUAAGACUAAGGUUUGAUUUGAGGUUUUCGGAUCUGGAUCCAUUAUCUACUAGCAUAAUUUGACACAAUAAAAGCAUUGAUUGAGGUCCAUUUUUUAUCUCACUCUCAAUUUAUUCUAAUUGUUUAAUACUUUGCGUGUUGAAUUCAUAGUAUGUUGAUUUCAUUUUAUUUACCUGGAUGUGUUUUGGAUCAUUGUGAGUGGUUGAUAUCGAUGUUCGAAUGUGUGAAUUGAAUAACUAAAAGAUUUGGGUUCAUUUGAGGUGGGGAUCGAAAAUUGAUAAAAGUGAAUAUCGUUGUAUUUUGAUUUUCUAUUAGUGAUUUAUUUUUGAAUAAUCGUUAAUUUUUUCGAACUUGAUAGUAUCAUGAUAGGCCGAAAUGGAUAGGCAAACGGUAGGCUCGGGUAGACAAAUUUAGAACUUAAGGAUUGUGGAAUGCUUGAAAUAUUUAUUGAAUGAUUUUGUUUACCGCAUUUGAAUCUAUUGUACUUAUUUCGCUGGGAAUAUCCCAAGACACAUUGUACUUAUUCAUCAGAGAAUUCUCCGAAGUACCAUGUACGCAAAGGAGGUUCGUGAUCAAGGCCCGAGGCAUCGGGUAAAGCAUUGAAGCAUAGUUUAGGAUUAGUGUAGGUCUGUUUUUCAGUACCUUUUUAUUUCGGGCUGUAAUAAUUAGACUGGACACUAUAUUUUUGUACUUGUUUUAACUUGUUCAUUUGAUCAAUUGUUUUGUGUGUUUUUGUGUGGUUUAUACAUUCAUAGUGUCAAAUUAGCUGCUAUGCUCCACCAAGAGAACAUGGUCAAAACACAGGAUUGAGGGGUGCCUAACACCUUCCCCUCGAUCAACA
Molecule: long non-coding RNA, 1554 nt
Filed under: Capsicum annuum
Lineage: Eukaryota; Viridiplantae; Streptophyta; Magnoliopsida; Solanales; Solanaceae
Description: long non-coding RNA (CANN_LNC016284)
Source: RNAcentral